RNAcentral lists this ribosomal RNA (154 nucleotides) under Pteridomonas danica. RNAcentral describes it as "5.8S ribosomal RNA". It matches the Rfam family "5.8S ribosomal RNA". From Rfam's summary of the family: 5.8S ribosomal RNA (5.8S rRNA) is a component of the large subunit of the eukaryotic ribosome. It is transcribed by RNA polymerase I as part of the 45S precursor that also contains 18S and 28S rRNA. The record is from RNAcentral. Lineage: Eukaryota; Dictyochophyceae; Pedinellales.
AACUUUCAGCGACGGAUGUCUUGGCUCCCACAUCGAUGAAGAACGCAGCGAAAUGCGAUACGUAAUGCGAAUUGCAGAAUCCAGUGAAUCAUCAAAACUUUGAACGCAUCUUGCGCUUCCGGGAUAUUCCUGGGAGCAUGCUUGUUGGAGUGUC